This 253-nucleotide ribosomal RNA is filed under the name uncultured bacterium. RNAcentral describes it as "partial 16S ribosomal RNA". It matches the Rfam family "Bacterial small subunit ribosomal RNA", at positions 524 to 776 of the family's 1533-position model. The record is from RNAcentral.
UACGUAGGGGGCAAGCGUUGUCCGGAAUCAUUGGGCGUAAAGAGCGUGUAGGCGGCCCGAUAAGUCCGCUGUGAAAGUCCAGGGCUCAACCCUGGAAUGCCGGUGGAUACUGUCGGGCUCGAAUCCGGAAGAGGUGAGUGGAAUUCCGGGUGUAGUGGUGGAAUGCGUAGAUAUCAGGAGGAACACCAAUAGCGAAGGCAGCUCGCUGGGACGUUACUGUCACUGAGGCGCGAAAGCGUGGGGAGCGAACAGG